GGGGAAUUUUGGACAAUGGGCGAAAGCCUGAUCCAGCAAUGCCGCGUGUGUGAAGAAGGCCUUCGGGUUGUAAAGCACUUUUGUCCGGAAAGAAAUCCUUGGUUCUAAUACAGUCGGGGGAUGACGGUACCGGAAGAAUAAGCACCGGCUAACUACGUGCCAGCAGCCGCGGUAAUACGUAGGGUGCGAGCGUUAAUCGGAAUUACUGGGCGUAAAGCGUGCGCAGGCGGUUUGCUAAGACCGAUGUGAAAUCCCCGGGCUCAACCUGGGAACUGCAUUGGUGACUGGCAGGCUAGAGUAUGGCAGAGGGGGGUAGAAUUCCACGUGUAGCAGUGAAAUGCGUAGAGAUGUGGAGGAAUACCGAUGGCGAAGGCAGCCCCCUGGGCCAAUACUGACGCUCAUGCACGAAAGCGUGGGGAGCAAACA
RNAcentral lists this ribosomal RNA (426 nucleotides) under uncultured Burkholderia sp. RNAcentral's name for it is "bacterial SSU rRNA". It matches the Rfam family "Bacterial small subunit ribosomal RNA", at positions 356 to 774 of the family's 1533-position model. The record is from RNAcentral. Lineage: Bacteria; Pseudomonadati; Pseudomonadota; Betaproteobacteria; Burkholderiales; Burkholderiaceae.